GAUGAACGCUGGCGGCGUGCCUAAUACAUGCAAGUCGAGCGAAUGGAUUAAGAGCUUGCUCUUAUGAAGUUAGCGGCGGACGGGUGAGUAACACGUGGGUAACCUGCCCAUAAGACUGGGAUAACUCCGGGAAACCGGGGCUAAUACCGGAUAACAUUUUGAACCGCAUGGUUCGAAAUUGAAAGUCGGCUUCGGCUGUCACUUAUGGAUGGACCCGCGUGGCAUUAGCUAGUUGGUGAGGUAACGGCUCACCAAGGCAAGGAUGCGUAGCCGACCUGAGAGGUGGAUCGGCGCAACUGGGACUGAGACACGGCCCAGAGUCCUACGGGAGGCAGCAGUAGGGAAUCUUCCGCAAUGGACGAAAGUCUGACGGAGCAACGCCGCGUGAGUGAUGAAGGCUUUCGGGUCGUAAAACUCUGUUGUUAGGGAAGAACAAGUGCUAGUUGAAUAAGCUGGCACCUUGACGGUACCUAACCAGAAAGCCACGGCUAACUACGUGCCAGCAGCCGCCGUAA
This 515-nucleotide ribosomal RNA is filed under the name uncultured bacterium. RNAcentral describes it as "partial 16S ribosomal RNA". It matches the Rfam family "Bacterial small subunit ribosomal RNA", at positions 28 to 523 of the family's 1533-position model. The record is from RNAcentral.